Molecule: long non-coding RNA, 1155 nt
Filed under: Cairina moschata (Muscovy duck)
Lineage: Eukaryota; Metazoa; Chordata; Aves; Anseriformes; Anatidae
Description: domestica (muscovy Duck (domestic type)) lncRNA (ENSCMMG00000005792.1)
Source: RNAcentral
CGUUUUGUGCCCCCCCGAAGAGCCCUGUGCGGGCAGGGGGAGCUUUUGGGGUGCCACAACCCCCCCCCGGUGACCCCUUUGGGGUCUGCUCUGGGUCCCCUCCUGCACCCCCAAGGCUUGGAGAGGGCCCAAGGGGGGGGAUUCCCUCCCUGGGCCAUCCCAGGAACCCCAGGGCAGCGUCGAGAGCCCUCAGAGGGGGGAUUUGGGGCACGGGGGGGGCGCACAGGGGCUCCCCCUCCCCUUCACACAUCAGAGCCUUUUUGGGGCUCCCCUUUCUUCCCCCCCCUCCCCAAAACCCCCUCCCCAAGGCAGGGCAGAGCGCCGGCGGGUCGCAGACGGGUGAGCACCUCCACGGGGCCGAGCUUUAUUGGGUUGGGGGGGCACCAAAUUCGCUGGGUGCUCGCCCCCCACCUCCGUCCCCGUCUCCUCCGGGGCUCAGCCCCGCGGCUCCUGCGCCGCGGCGCCGGCCCCAACCUCACCUGGCUGCGUCCGCGCCAGCACAACCCGGCACCGGCAGCGCCCUCGGUGGACCCAAAACUGGGUUGGGGGGGGGUGGCAGUGUCCCCCGAGCCCUCCCCCCCGCAUUGUCCCCAGGGAUGGGGAAGGGACCCGUCCCCUCCCCACGGUGCCGGGCUCGGGGGGCGGCUGGAGAGAGCCGGGAAGCUCGCGGGGGCCGCCGGGGCUCACUGCUCCUCCUUCUCCUUCUCCUUCUCCUCCGGGAGCUUCUUGCGGGUGAAGAAGCCGAGCUGGGGCCGAGAGGGAGAGGAGGGAGGGGAUGAAGCAGCCCCCAGCCCGUCCUGCUGGGCGUGUGUGUCCCCCCCCCACGCACCCCCACCCCCAGGCUCUCACCCUCCACAGGCAGAAGAUGAUGAGCGCCAGCAGCAGCAGCCCCCCCAGGAUGCUGCCCACCAGGAUCCACAGGGAGAUGGGCACCCGCUUGGCCUGGAUGAUCUCCAGCACCGUCUGCAGGAAAAAAAGGGCCCCGGGGAGCACCCGGGGAGGGGCGCGGAGACCCCCCCAGCCCCCUCCUGGGGGUCCCCCAGCUCCUACCUCCCUGCGCCGCGCCGCCUCCCCCAGCACCAGCGCGCUGCCCCCCGGCACCCCCAGCGCGGCCGCGCUGACGAUCCUCACGCUCCGGAAUUUAGCCUGGAGUAG